RNAcentral lists this ribosomal RNA (208 nucleotides) under Scomber australasicus (blue mackerel). Its description in RNAcentral is "partial 16S ribosomal RNA". Lineage: Eukaryota; Metazoa; Chordata; Actinopteri; Scombriformes; Scombridae. The record is from RNAcentral.
ACUAAGCCAUAUCAAGUUAAAUACCCCCUAACAAGGGGCCAAACUUAUUGAAAUCAUUGGCCGUAUGUCUUCGGUUGGGGCGACCAUGGGGAAACAAAAAACCCCCACGUGGAAUGGGAGCACAUUUACUCCUACAGUCAAGAGCCGCCACUCUAACAAACAGAAUUUCUGACCAAUAACUGAUCCGGCAACGCCGAUCAACGGACCA